Molecule: small nuclear RNA, 104 nt
Organism: Marmota marmota marmota (Alpine marmot)
Lineage: Eukaryota; Metazoa; Chordata; Mammalia; Rodentia; Sciuridae
Source: Ensembl
GUGCUCACUUCAGUAGCCACAUACUACAGUUGGAGCAAUACAGAGAAGAUCAGCAUGACCCUUGUGCAAGGAUAACACAUGUUUGUGAAGCGUUCCAUGUUAAA